This 244-nucleotide ribosomal RNA is filed under the name uncultured bacterium. Its description in RNAcentral is "partial 16S ribosomal RNA". It matches the Rfam family "Bacterial small subunit ribosomal RNA", at positions 524 to 767 of the family's 1533-position model. The record is from RNAcentral.
UACAGAGGGGGCAAGCGUUAUUCGGAAUUAUUGGGCGUAAAGGGCGCGUAGGCGGCCUGGCAAGCGACGGGUGAAAUCCCUCGGCUUAACCGAGGAGCUGCCUGUCGAACUGCCUGGCUUGAGGCCGGGAGAGGCGAGUGGAAUUCCCAGUGUAGCGGUGAAAUGCGUAGAUAUUGGGAGGAACACCAGUGGCGAAGGCGGCUCGCUGGACCGGUUCUGACGCUGAGGCGCGAAAGCGUGGGGA